GUGGUCUAUUGGGAUAAAUGAAUGAAGUAAUGAAGGGGAACGAGCAGGCUGCUUUAGCUCGAGCUUUGGUGUCGGUGAAGCUGCAGCUCUUUCCUUUUAAAGCAGAACAACAAAUUUAAUCUGGGAGAUGAGAAGGCUGCUAAAAGCCAACGCUCUCUCACAAGCAGAGUGUGGCAGCUGCAGCUCCACGGGCACAGGAGGUUCACAGCAGUGAGUUGUAGCCGUCAGCCGCCCUUUGCUCAGAUGUGUAUGUACGUUUUUAUACAUCUGUUAAUGUCAGUCAGGAAAGCGUGUGCAGUACGUUCUCUGAUGCGGUGACUUGAAUGUUCAUUUCAUUAUCGCUGUGGGCGGUAAAGAUCCAUCCAUCUUUAGACUGGGAUCUUUGAAAACAAUGCACUGGGGUUGCAGUAAAUAGUUUUACAAACUGGAUCUGAUAAAUGCUGACUUGGAGCUGCUUUAAUCCACUUAAGUCAGCCACUAAACAAAACAUCAUAAAACAUGGGAUACACAUCCACCACAAAUCUCUGGCUCACAGAUCUUUGCUUACACAACAGGGUCAUCCAGUCGGUUUGGGGUCCCCCUGAGGAUAAGUAAAUCCAGUUUUCUCUUUUUUGCUUCUGGUUUGGUCUCCACCAGCUGCUGAUGAAGAUAGCUAGAUAGAUUUUUUUUUUUUUACUUUAAAUAUUCCACUUUCAUCACCAGCUAGUUUCAGUUUUGUCUGUCUGCUGUCUGGUGGUAGGCAGGCGGUGUGAAGUGGAUUGGACUGUACAGAGCUAAAUCAGGAUGAGCGUCCUCACAGAGCUCCAUUUCUAAAAAGGCUUUGGUGAUAGAGGCUGUGCUACAGUAUCCUGGAGGCAGUGAUAAAAUGGAUGUAAAUCAGGAGCAGCCUUGGUCUGGCUCCAUGUGGCAGAAAGCUGAGGUGGCGCUUUACCACAGUACUCCUAUCCAGACGACCCACCAUGCUCUAUUGUGGAGUCAAAUCCCUCCUUGUCAAGCAUCGGCAGCAAUUGUGUUUGAGUCCCAUUGUCCAAGUCGACGAGUG
RNAcentral lists this long non-coding RNA (1042 nucleotides) under Mastacembelus armatus (zig-zag eel). RNAcentral's name for it is "lncRNA (ENSMAMG00000025294.1)". Lineage: Eukaryota; Metazoa; Chordata; Actinopteri; Synbranchiformes; Mastacembelidae. The record is from RNAcentral.